RNAcentral lists this ribosomal RNA (631 nucleotides) under Melittangium sp. RNAcentral describes it as "bacterial SSU rRNA". It matches the Rfam family "Bacterial small subunit ribosomal RNA", at positions 57 to 671 of the family's 1533-position model. The record is from RNAcentral. Lineage: Bacteria; Pseudomonadati; Myxococcota; Myxococcia; Myxococcales; Archangiaceae.
GCAGUCGAGCGCGAAUGGAGCAAUCCUAGUAGAGCGGCGCACGGGUGCGUAACACGUGGGUAAUCUGCCUGGGUGUCUGGGAUAACCAGUCGAAAGAUUGGCUAAUACCGGAUGAGCCCCCGGGAGCUUCGGCUCUUGAGGGAAAAGGUGGCCUCUGUAUACAAGCUAUCACACCCAGAUGAGCCCGCGGCCCAUCAGCUAGUUGGCGGGGUAAUGGCCCACCAAGGCGACGACGGGUAGCUGGUCUGAGAGGACGAUCAGCCACACUGGAACUGAGACACGGUCCAGACUCCUACGGGAGGCAGCAGUGGGGAAUUUUGCGCAAUGGGCGAAAGCCUGACGCAGCAACGCCGCGUGUGUGAUGAAGGUCUUUGGAUUGUAAAGCACUUUCGACCGGGACGAAAACCCCCUGGCUAAUACUCAGGGGCUUGACGGUACCGGGAGAAGAAGCACCGGCUAACUCUGUGCCAGCAGCCGCGGUAAUACAGAGGGUGCAAGCGUUGUUCGGAAUUAUUGGGCGUAAAGCGCGUGUAGGCGGCUUUGCAAGUCGGAUGUGAAAGCCCUCGGCUCAACCGAGGAAGUGCGUUCGAAACUGCAGAGCUUGAGUGCCGGAGAGGGUGGCGGAAUUCCC